Molecule: ribosomal RNA, 269 nt
Filed under: uncultured prokaryote
Description: partial 16S ribosomal RNA
Rfam family: Bacterial small subunit ribosomal RNA
Source: RNAcentral
UACGGAGGGUGCAAGCGUUAUCCGGAAUCACUGGGCGUAAAGGGCGCGUAGGCGGCCUGUUAAGUCCGAUGUUAAAGACUGGGGCUCAACCCCAGCAUUGCGUUGGAUACUGGCAGGCUUGACGGUUGGAGAGGCGAGUGGAAUUACCAGUGUAGCGGUGAAAUGCGUAGAUACUGGUAGGAACACCCAUUGCGAAGGCAGCUCGCUGGACAACACGUGACGCUGAGGCGCGAAAGUGUGGGGAGCAAACCGGAUUAGAUACCCCGGUA